AUUUGGGUUAGUUUUGCUUGCGUGGGUUUUCUGUUCCUUGUUUUUAUUUUGCUUUUUUUUUGGCCGAUUAUUAAUCUUUGUUUUAAGUUUAAAUAUGGUUUAUUUGCUUUGUGUAAGUUAAUUUUAUGAAAUCGUUUAUAUUUAGGAUAACCCUAUUGCUGUGUUUUCUCUGACAUCACGCUGUUUUAGGGGCCUCUAUUUUAAUAAUCCUUUUGUUAUUAAGAUUAUUCUGUGCUUUAAUUUGGUAUAGCUGUUGCGUUUUAAGUGCUUUUUGUGACCCUUGAUUGUAUUUUGAGAAGUGCAGACUUUGAUUAGUUUUUGUUGUGAUUCAGAAAUCAGAAGUGUUUUGUCUUGUUGGGAAUGCCGUAUCCUGAACUUCAGUGAACCUAAAAUCUGCAUUAAGUUGAAUUAUUGAUGAUAACAUGUUUAUGCUGAGGCCAUUUCGUGUUUUGGUUAUGUUUAUAUUACUUCAACUGGAGCAAUUUUUCUUUUUUUGGAUUGUAUGUUUUCUGGUGAGCUGUGGCUGUCCCUAAUAAAGCCAUCUAAAUUUGGAUUGGUUUUCUGCAAACAGAAGCUGGACAUUUUAACUUACCUGGUAUUUUAGUUGUUUAUUUCAUCAUUUAUUUAGUUUAGAAAGUUGUCUUCUUAACUUGACUGAAACAGAUUUGCAUUAAGAUGAACUAUUGAGAUUAACUCUAUUUAUGCUAAGGUUUUGGCUUUCGGGUAUGAUUGUACAGGUCAAAUUGUAAUAUGUGAGCUGGUCAUGCUUAUAUAUGAGUAUUUUUUUUGAUGGUCCAUGUUUAUGUUUUGAUGAGACAAUGAUGAACCCAUCAGGAUUUAUGGUGUUUUAUGAUGCCUGUGAUUUGUGGAGUGGUCUCAGUUUUUUAGGAUGGACUUUUGAAGUGGGAUUAUGAUCGACCAAUUCUGUUUGUUAUUGUUUACUUUUGUAGUUUCAAGUUUGUGGCUAGUGGAUAUACAAAGUUACAAACCCCUCCUGUUUUUGCAUGCUCUAUGUGAAGUGUGAACCCAAUUUGGUGUUGAUUAGUGGACUGCUUAACCCUUUUGGUUUUCUUUUUGUUUGGUUUGCAUUGCUAUAAGACCUCACUGAUUAAUAGAUGCUGUGGACAUUGACUUAAGUGCUUACUUGGAAUACUAUCAGUUAUUAGUUGAACUCAAUUUUGUAUUCUCAUGGACUUGUUGAAAGUGGCAUUCUUUGCAUUAGUUGUAGUUUUCUAUUGUGGUUUUAUUUGCUUUGUGAUCUGCAUUAACUUCAUUAGUUAAUUGGGAACUUGCCUAUAAAAAUAUUUUGUAUCUAUAUUUUGAAUGGAUCGAAUGGCUUGAGCUAAAGGUUUAUUUUGUGAAUCUCAGUUUACAAGUAUUAUGAGUUAUAGGAAACAAUAUUUUAACAGCAUACAAUAUACUCAUGUUUUGACUUUUAAUGCUGGGUUCAUUUCUGUAUUGGGGACUAGAUAAAGUC
Molecule: unclassified non-coding RNA, 1477 nt
Filed under: Hevea brasiliensis (rubber tree)
Lineage: Eukaryota; Viridiplantae; Streptophyta; Magnoliopsida; Malpighiales; Euphorbiaceae
Source: RNAcentral